AUUAGUGUCUGAUGUAAAAAUAUUAAAAACACGGAGGGCACCUAUAAUAAAAAGGGCGUCCUCUACAAAUGUCGCUUUAUAAUUUUAAUAAACACGCGUUUCUGGGACUCAGGGGGGAAACUAAAUCCCCCAAAAUUUUGAACACCCGCUUCCUCUUCCUCUCUACUCUCUACACCCGCCAAAUCAACUUCAUUCUCUCCCUUCUUUCUCUCUGCAAACCCCUUCUUCUCCGAUCGACUUUCACUUCCUUCUAUGUGCAAACCCUAAUCAAACAUAACACAUUUGAAAUAGUAAUAUCUUCUUUCAUUUUAUCCCCUACUACUCUCUGUAAAACCUAGCAGCCGCCACCACUAGAAACAUGGAAAAUCCCCCAAAAUUUUGAAGUACCCCGCUCACUCCUCUCAAUAUCUCUUGCGCUUUCGUAUUUAUAGCCAGAGUUGGAGAGCGAAAAGAAGAAAGAAGAAAGAAAUGAUGUGAGGGUGUGAGGUGGCGUUCAAAGGUUGUCAAGGGGUUGUGAGGAGCUAUAGGGCUCAAGUUCGAGGUUGAAGAUUAGAAACCGAAGGUUGAAGAUCAGAUUUGGGAUUAGAUGAGUCGCUGGUACAACUGACGUCGUCGUGGUGUAGGUCAGAUGAGUCGCCGGAGUCCAGGCCAAGUAACAGUGUCGCUGGAGUUUUGGGAAGCUAACGAUGUCAUCAAUUCGAGUGCAGGUGAUGUGCCGAUUAUUGAUUUUGGAUCAAUUACUAACUGUUUGCCAUUUUCUUUCUAGAAAAUCAAUGUAAUGUCUGCUUCUUAAUCUUGUUCUCUAUGAGUACCAUUGUUACCGUCUCUGGUAAAAACAUCUAACCAUAUGCCAGAUUCGUUGAUUCAGGCUACAAAAGUACCUGUUAAAGAGUAUGAGUUUGAUGAAAAGAAGAUGGCAAAUGUGCAGUCUCAUCUGGAAAAAUUGGUUGCCAAUAACUAUUACUUGAACAGGUCUCCAAAAGAUGCGUACAGAUAAAUAUAUUAUUCAUGAAGUGAAGGCAAGAAUAGUUGAAUGGACAAGGGCAGGCUGGUCAAGACUGGAAGCUUUACACAUUUAUAUCCAUUUUGUUGAAGAUCUGAUACCCCUCUUAUCUACAGAGCAGUUCCCAUGAUGAGCAGUUGCUUGAAGCAGCUUGGUGUCUUACAAACAUAGCUGCUGGAAAACCUAAAGAAACAAGAGCUUAAUUGCCUGCAUUACCUUUACUCAUUGCUCAAAUUGGAGAGUUCAGUGCCUGUUGCAGAGCAGUGUGCUUAAGCAUUAGGAAAUGUUGCAGGAGAAGGUGAAGAACCGAGACAAAUUCUGAUUUCUCAAGGGGCAUUACUUCCUCUUGCAAAAAUGAUGUUGCCAAAUAAAGUUUCAGUUAACGGGUGAACCAAGUUUCUCUGAAAUGGCGACAGCAUUGUCAGGGCCUCCUUAUAUCUUUGUUUCUACUCCAGCUUGUGUCCAAAGAUGUCUUUCAUCAGGUGUUCUUCAAGCAAAAUCCGUUCAUGAUUAUCUUUCAAUUAUUAUUCUUGAUAAGAUCUUAUUUUUACAUAUGGAUAUGAAAAGAAUCUCAAAGAUCUCAAAACUCACAUUCCUAAAAGAUGUCAAUGCCUUCUCAUGGCUGCUACCUCAAGCUUGAAGAAGCUUUAUCUACACAAUCCCUAUAUUCUUACUUUAGCAGAAGUUGGUGAUGGAAAGGACGAAAUUGUCCCCAAAAAUGUUCAGCAAUUUUGGUUUGGUAUAAAAUCUGCUGUGUUAAAUGCUGAAUUGCCUGUGAAUUGACGUCUACAUAUUCUUGAGAAAACAAAUUUCCUGGGCGGGAAAGAAGCAGACAUACUUGCUGGUAAGAUGAGUAUGGUACAGUUGCAAGGGCGGGACCAGUUGCUGACAGCACAAAAUGAAAUGCUCAAGGUACUCUACUCUACUGCUUCAUCAUAUAUGUCUGCAAGUUUGGUUGGCAGUUUCCCUUAUUACAGAUGCGUUGGCUGCAUCUGGUCAGGCGUUGAUUGCUAGUUCGGUUUCAAAAGGGAAUUAUAGAUCUGUGAAGGAUAUCACAUACUUCGUGUUGACUAUUGGUUUUGUGAUGGGUGUUACUUUGGCUGCAAUAUUGGGAGUUUCAUUUGGUUCCAUAGUCACACUGUUCACUAAGGACAUUGGAGUAUUGGUGAUUGCUAGAACCGGGGUUUUGUUUGUGAGUGCUAGUCAGCCUUUGAAUGCUUUUGCUUUUACUGUUGAUGGUUUGCAUUAUGGAGUUUCAGACUUCCCGUAUGCUGCUUAUUCCAUGGCCAAAACCAUUGCAUUUUGCAAUAGUUGAUGAACUUGAUUAUGUCCUAAUUGAUGAGGGAAGAAACCCAUUGCUGAUAAGGGGUGAGGCUAGCAAGGAUGCUGCACGUAACACAGUUGCUGCUAAAGUAGCUGAGCUUCUCAUGCGUGGCCUCGUAUUUUACUUUUUUGCCCUUCUUUUUCCUUUUUGAUGUCUUGUUAUCCAUCUCCAUUGUAUGCGUAUCUCAUUGUUUGUUCCACUACACAUCAUGU
Molecule: non-coding RNA, 2539 nt
Organism: Lactuca sativa (garden lettuce)
Lineage: Eukaryota; Viridiplantae; Streptophyta; Magnoliopsida; Asterales; Asteraceae
Source: RefSeq, a predicted model, not a curated record